AAUACACUUGACUAGACUAGAUGAUCGGCUGUCGCUAGCUUGAUUCCAUUCAUAUUGACCAGCUUGUUUCUUUCCUUCUAGUUAAUUUCCUCCGCAUCUUGCAGUGACCUUAGGGUUAGUUCGAGUGUCAAAAUAUUCCCUUGAUUGUUCCCCAUCAAUCUGCUAACUAUACCUAAUUUAUGUCUGUAUAUCAAGAUUUUAGAGUCCAGACAGGUUGUACU
Molecule: long non-coding RNA, 221 nt
Filed under: Populus trichocarpa (black cottonwood)
Lineage: Eukaryota; Viridiplantae; Streptophyta; Magnoliopsida; Malpighiales; Salicaceae
Description: long non-coding RNA (PTRI_LNC001852)
Source: RNAcentral